GUGCUCGCUUCAGCAGAACAUAUACUAAAAUUGGAAUGAUACAGAGAAGAUUAGCAUGGCCCCUGCGCAAGGAUGACACUAACAAAAAAAAAAAAGUAUUUAUUAAA
Lemur catta (Ring-tailed lemur) is the source of this 107-nucleotide small nuclear RNA. The record is from RefSeq and is a predicted model, not a curated record. NCBI's taxonomy places the organism in Eukaryota, Metazoa, Chordata, Mammalia, Primates, Lemuridae.